Molecule: long non-coding RNA, 2897 nt
Organism: Esox lucius (northern pike)
Lineage: Eukaryota; Metazoa; Chordata; Actinopteri; Esociformes; Esocidae
Source: Ensembl
CGCAAAACUGUUGUGUGAGCACUUGAAAGUCGUAUGUAGCCUGGGCCAUACUGGAGACCGUGACAGCUGGAGAAAUGACUACAGUACAGGAGUUAGUUGGACUAUAUUUUAAUCUAGGUCUUCAUUAUAAGGAUAUUGCUGAUUUGCUUGUAAGUCGUCACCAUUAUAUUGUUUCGAUACGACAUUUAAAACGGAUUUAAAGUCUUGUAAUCUAUUCCGGCGCAAGGGAUACCGCGAUUCGGAUCGGGCAAUUUCAUUCAUUUAUGAACAGUUACAAACAUCUGGCCAACUCCACGGAUAUAGGUGGAUGUACACAAAAUGCAAGGAGAAUGGAUUAAACAUAAGGAAAGAGGAUGUUUGGUUAAUUCUACGAGAACUAGUGCCAAGGAGUGUUGAACUCAGAGUGAGGAGACGGCUACGUUGCCGAAACUACUUUGCUAUAGGGCCUAAUUAUAUUUGGCACUUAGACUCUUAUGACAAAUUGAAGCCUUUUGGCAUCUGUAUAAACGGCUGCAUUGACGGAUUUUCGCGGGAAAUGAUCUGGAUGAAUGCAUUUACCACAAGCAGUGACCCAAAACUUAUUGGUGGCUACUACAUGGAGGCAGUGGAAAGGUUGGGUGGUUGUCCAAGGAUUGUCCGAGGCGACCGAGGUACUGAGAAUGGUAAAGUCAGAGACUGUCAGCGCUUUCUCCGUCGCAACAUUCACGAUGGCUCUGCUAUUGACAGCUACAUUGAAGGGGCAAGCACGGCCAAUCAGAGGAUAGAAAGUUGGUGGGGCUUCCUCAGGAGAGAAUCAAUGGAGUUUUACAUCUGUCUGUUUGCUGAUCUAAAGGACCGUGGAUUGUUCGACGGUGCAUAUUUGGACAGAUCGAGGUCUAAUUCAGUUCUGCUUCAUGGGCAUGAUCCAGGAUGAUUUAGAUAAGACUACCCCAUGGGAUUCCCAUGUCAUCAGACCAUCAAAGAAUGACAGAGUGCCCAGUGGUCGACCCAGAGUCAUGUACAUGUUCCUUGAACUCCACAGAACUGAUGAUUGCGUUUCCCCAGUGGAAAGAGACGAUUUACAGCUUUGUCAGAGUAGGUGCACAUUUCGACCAACAGUGCCAUGUGACACAGACAUCUGCAACCUACUGAUGGUUGAGUCACAAUUGCAUCUUCCGGCUGAUGCUUAUCAAGCUUUGGAUUUGUAUCUGCACUUGUGAAAUGUAAUGAAAUCCAAUCUCUAAUUACAUCUACACAAAACACAUCAACAUUCUCCAGUCAGCAUGUAAAUGAUAACAGACAAAUUAACAGUGUCAGUAAGCUAUGUGUAUUAUGAAUCUUGUUAAUGUAGGAUAUUUUGCUUUGCCCUCACAUCAGUCAUGAACAGGGAAAUAUGGACACAAGCACAGCAAAGAAAUGACGCAUAUGACAUGAAUGAGAAAGUUGUAAUUUUAAUUUAACAGUAUCUUGGACAUUUUGAGUAUGUUUACCAUGUGAGGCUUCAACAAAAACAGCCAUUGGUAUUUGCCAUUUGCCAAAAUGUAAAACAAGUGAACGUGUGAAAUGCGAUAUUCUGCAGUAUUGUACAGUAAUAAUUUCUCUCCUGAAAAGGCAUAAAAUAAAUAAAACCUAACAAACAUUUAUGCUUAAUAACAAGUAAGUAAAAGUUUUACUUUUCUUACACCUAUUACAACAACUACACAGGACAGCAGACCUUUCUGGACACCAUCACUGUCCAAACGUUCUCAUGAACUGCAAGUAUGUAGUGUAUUUAACUGCUAAAUGGAAAUCUGCAAAAACUCAUGUGUCAGUACUUUACAUAAACAUUUAUGCUUCAUAAAAAAAUAAGUACAAGUUUUACUUUUCUUACAUCUAUUAUUCUUUGUAUUAUUCUAUAACAACCCAACAGGACAACAGACAAUUCUGGAGCAGGUUACCUGAACGUACAAAAAUAACUCAACAAAUUAGAUAUUAAAGUUUCCAACAACAAAUAAAUGAUGUACUUGGUUUUGAUGGAACUUUUCUUGUAAGGACACUUAUAUUUUCCCUACAAUUAGUACCAAAUUAAAAGUUCAUUUGAGCAAACAUGCUCAGAAAUUAGCAUUACCAAAUGCCCAUCACGACCACUCGGAGCCUCCUUCAAAUGUCUUGUUUUGACCGACCAUCUCACCCAAAACUCAAAGGAGUGAAUUUACAGUAAUAUCAAACAGAAAAAAACAGCAAAUCUUCGCUUUAGAAAAACUGAAAGCAAUGAAUGUUUUGGCUGGAUAUACAACCCAAACAAUUUAAAGAUAGAUCAAUUAAUCAACUAAUUGUUUUAGCACUAGAUGUUUUCACAUUUUUUUUUAUAAAGUGCAUUCAUUUAUCUGUGACGAUGAAAUUUUCACCCUCACAGUAGCUUUUUAUCAUAAACUCUCCAUUUGUUUCAUUUGUUUGUUAUUACAUUUGACAAUAUCACUUUGGAAAAACAAGGUACCAUUUAUACCUUCUGAUUACAAGUGAGCUACUGUGUUGUUUACCGCUGCAUCUUAAAUAUGUAAAUUAAACGGGAUGCAUUACAGUUUGUGUGCGAGAUGUGAAAACUAUUAAUGCUCAGUAUCUCCAAACUUCACUGAACACAGAUGGAGCCUCAUAAUUCCACGACAACACUGACAUUCGUAUUCAUGGAAGUAAAUGCAAGUGGAGUGUUGAUGAGUUACCACCUCUUUGAAAAGCUCACUCAGCUGUUGUCAUCAUUAAGCCUAUUAUUGAUUCAACUGACACCCAAACAUUGAUGGUUAAUAACAAAUAAGUAAAAGUGUUACAUUUCUUACAUCCAUUAUAACAACAAGCAUUGAUUGUCAAUAGCUAUCUCAUGUUUUAACUCCUUUUUAGGAUUAACUUUUUUUCCACACAAAAGUGAAAAGUGUAACUCUGUC